Long non-coding RNA from Aquila chrysaetos chrysaetos, 667 nucleotides. RefSeq lists it as uncharacterized. The record is from RefSeq and is a predicted model, not a curated record. The transcript has 3 exons. NCBI's taxonomy places the organism in Eukaryota, Metazoa, Chordata, Aves, Accipitriformes, Accipitridae.
GUUGAGUUUGAGCUGCUACCGCUGGGCCCACCUUGUCAGCAGGCCCGGCCGGUGUGCCUCGUGCGUGUGUGUGUAAAAAAUAAGUAAAUAAAUCUUAGUCCGUGUAAAAGUAAAGCUGGGGGAACGGAGAAGCUGGCACAUGAAGCUGUAGCGAAGUUGGGGGAACAGAGAAGCUGGCGAAGCCGGGCGGAGGCAGGCGCCAAGGGGGCCGGUGGUGGGGCGGGGCAGGGCCGGCGGCACCACGGACACGUCAGCCGGGCGCGGAGAUGGGCCUGUAAGGACCUGUGAUUAACGUGAACCCUGCGAAAUACACGUACUUGGGUCAUGUGUCAUUAAUAAAACACCGCGUCCGACUGCUACAGGACUAGAGACGCACCGUAUUCGAGUACACAUUUUCACAAAAUGGGCAAGUUCCCGAAACGCUAGCCCCUUUCUGGUGUGGAUGUAAAUGUGGUGGAUGCUUGGGUAGAUUUCCAGCCACAACCCUGGCACUGGUCCGAUUCAAAGUUCUUUCCAGUUUUGAUCAAACGAGGUUUCUGUUCUUCAUAGGAACCACCUGGGAAUAGCAAAAUUCAGUUCUUCUGAAGAAAGGGAGUCUGUCUGACUGGUGUGAGGUAACUGAGGAACAUUCUGUGGUAAUGAGUCCAAGAACUCACUUCGACGACUA